Hemicordylus capensis (graceful crag lizard) is the source of this 1524-nucleotide long non-coding RNA. RefSeq lists it as uncharacterized. NCBI's taxonomy places the organism in Eukaryota, Metazoa, Chordata, Lepidosauria, Squamata, Cordylidae. The transcript is spliced from 3 exons. The record is from RefSeq and is a predicted model, not a curated record.
GCGGCAAAGAGCUCCUUUUCUCCCGCCUCUCAGCUGAUCGGCGGGUGGGCGGGGCUUCCACGGAGGCCUCCGUGUAGGCCGCAGUGAAGCCUGAGCUCGAGUAGGGCCCAAGCAAGCCAGGAAGGAGGAGGCAGCCAGAGUGUUCUCUGCAGCAGAAGAUCCCUUGCUGCACUGCUUAACCCAGACCAGCAUUUGCCAGGAGAAGAGUCAAACUUGGAAAAUUAAUUUCAAGGUACAAACUUUCAAACAGGAAGGCAAGAAGAAAGAGUAACUAUUACAAUAGAACUAAAUUCUUAACAGGGGUAUAGCUAUAAUUGAACGAAAGGGUUCAAAGAACAUGAGACCCCAGCUCAUGAGGGCCCUCCAGAUCCAUCCCUCCCUAUUUUCUUCAUUGUCUCCCUCACUCUGGGGGGCCACCCAAAAGAGGGAUGAACACGGGCCCCCUCUCCCCUAGCUACGCCCCUGAUUCUUAAUUAAGGGUUCUUUCAGUACAACAUUUUACCUUUGGCAUGACCCUAUUUUGCUCAGAAGCAUAAAUAUGGAGAACUUUAUAUCAGCUAGUCAUUCACAGGGAUAUUUGAGAAAACAAACAUGGACAGCAGCCAACAGCAAUCUAGUGUCCUGUUAAUGGAUCUUCCCUGAAAAAUCUACGCGGAUGGCUGAUUUGACAAGUUCAAGAAGCAUUACUUUGGAUGAAAGUGUUACAGCAGAACUGGCCUCCCUGUGAACUUUAGCAGUAACUGCCCACAGCUAUACUGGGGGUGCAGGUGGUGAUUUCAAAGCAGAGGUCCCAGCUCUCCAACAUCCCAGAAGACACUCAGCCUGGCUUUAUUGGAAGCAAGUAGAGGAGGAGGGAUGUGUGGGGUUUGGGAUCUGUGGGGAGGAAGGGAGGGGAAAGCCAAGAUUUCUCCCUGCCUGUUUCUCUCCCCACAGCGAGGCAGCAGAGGAAGCAAGCAUGCGUGUGGGGCAAAGAACUGUCCAUACUGCAACACACUACAAUGCAUAAAAUGUGGACAAGGCUACCUACAAUGGAAAAAUACAGCUACUUUCCUGCAGAGCAUUUACAAUGUUUUAGGGCAAAAAUGCAUAAUUAAAAUUCGAAUCAAGGCAUGGGAAAUAUGAAUGGCAUCCUGCUGACAACGUAGCAUCCCCAAUGUGGAAACACAGGCAAUACAGAGGGGCAUUUAGAGGAUACAUUGUGAGUACGUUGCAGCAUGUAAUCUGGAAAACGCCCUGGAGUCUCUCUUUAACAAUCAUUCAAGACUUGCCUAUCACUUUCUCCAAGCCAGAAAGGGCUCUCCUCAGCAGUAAGUGCUUUCUUUUGCUCAUGGAUCCACAUCUUUAUAGAACAUCAAAUUUGUUAAUGUAAAGUAGCAGCUGAAGGUACUGGAGAUGAAUACGCCUUCCAGGAUUCUCAUGAUCCCAGAGAACAAGGUGUUGUGAAAAAUCAUUGCAUUUCACUUUGAGCCAACAUCUGAAAAUAUUUUCUUUCCAAACAAAUAAAUGGAUGAAGUGGAUAAUUUU